UGGGGAAUAUUGCGCAAUGGGCGAAAGCCUGACGCAGCGACGCCGCGUGAGGGACGACGGCCUUCGGGUUGUAAACCUCUUUCAGCAGGGACGAAGCGAAAGUGACGGUACCUGCAGAAGAAGCACCGGCUAACUACGUGCC
Molecule: ribosomal RNA, 142 nt
Filed under: uncultured bacterium
Lineage: Bacteria
Description: partial 16S ribosomal RNA
Rfam family: Bacterial small subunit ribosomal RNA
Source: RNAcentral